Molecule: ribosomal RNA, 358 nt
Filed under: uncultured Allobrachymonas sp.
Lineage: Bacteria; Pseudomonadati; Pseudomonadota; Betaproteobacteria; Burkholderiales; Comamonadaceae
Description: bacterial SSU rRNA
Rfam family: Bacterial small subunit ribosomal RNA
Source: RNAcentral
AAAGAGAACCUGCACACAGGUGCUGCAUGGCUGUCGUCAGCUCGUGUCGUGAGAUGUUGGGUUAAGUCCCGCAACGAGCGCAACCCUUGCCAUCAGUUGCUACGAAAGGGCACUCUGAUGGGACUGCCGGUGACAAACCGGAGGAAGGUGGGGAUGACGUCAAGUCCUCAUGGCCCUUAUAGGUGGGGCUACACACGUCAUACAAUGGCCGGUACAAAGGGCAGCCAACCCGCGAGGGGGGAGCCAAUCCCAUAAAGCCGGUCGUAGUCCGGAUCGCAGUCUGCAACUCGACUGCGUGAAGUCGGAAUCGCUAGUAAUCGUGGAUCAGCAUGUCACGGUGAAUACGUUCCCGGGUCUU